RNAcentral lists this ribosomal RNA (265 nucleotides) under uncultured Bacillota bacterium. RNAcentral describes it as "uncultured Firmicutes bacterium partial 16S ribosomal RNA". It matches the Rfam family "Bacterial small subunit ribosomal RNA", at positions 72 to 339 of the family's 1533-position model. The record is from RNAcentral. Lineage: Bacteria; Bacillati; Bacillota.
UCGAAGUUCAGAUUUGACUUAGUGGCGGACGGGUGAGUAAUGCAUGAGCAACCUGCCCUGCAGUGGGGGACAACAGUUGGAAACGACUGCUAAUACCGCAUGAUGUAUCUGGAAGGCAUCUUUCGGAUACCAAAGAUUUAUCGCUGUGGGAUGGACCCGCGUCUGAUUAGCUAGUUGGUAAGGUAACGGCUUACCAAGGCGACGAUCAGUAGCCGGACUGAGAGGUUGACCGGCCACAUUGGGACUGAGAUACGGCCCAGACUCC